CUGCACUCAUCUAGACCCACUGACACUACUGAUGAGUAAAACACCACAGCAUUGUCCCAAUAUUCCAUCAAUAAAAAGAUACAUAUUUAUCUGUUAACACUUUUAAGCAAUGGAGUUUUGUGUUAAUUAAUGUAUCGAUGCAGCUCGACGAUAGAGCCGUUGAUGCCGUCAAGACAAAGUUCUUUAAGAACUACAAGAACUGGUGCAAAUUUUUAGGACGUAAACAUAGUUUAAGGUACCAGGCAACAUUUUAUUUUCACAAAUGGCUUGAAUGAGACACUUUUUUGAAUGAUGUUUAUACUCUUAAUAAAAAUUCACUCAUUUAAUUUAUGCGAAGGCUUUCUCAAGGUGCUGAAGAUAUACAACAGGAGAAGAUACUGUAUAUGGGUUUUUAAAUCCUUUUUAGCUGAUAUGAUUAGUCAAACACAAGAAUUCAUCAAUAUUUACCUGCUUUUUAUUCUCAGAUGGCUUAUGAACUCCAUGGUCUUCUGGCUGGAAAUGUCAGCAUCGUUACUGGAGAAAAUAUCAAGCCUUCUUACGGUGGAGAUGAUGAGGCCUUUCUGCUGAAAAGCAAGUAAGAAUGCCACUGGCAAGGCCGCUCACUCAGAUUGGUCCAACUAUGAUGAUCUGUAUGAAUAUUUUUGGUCUCCAGAUUGCUUCUAUCUCGGCUGGCCAAUGCGUGAUGAUGGAGAUCUCUCUCCAGUAUCUUCAUUACAGCAGCUUUUCUACGCUUCCUCCAGAGUAUCUUGGAUAUUAUCUUAAACUUCCCGGGUUUCCACAGAUGGAAAUUUACUGAAAUUUUGAGAAAUAUUCUCAAGAUCGCUGUAAGUCUCGCUUGGUGUGUAGUCUUACCGCUUUGCGAUGCCCAGUCCAAUUCUUCUGCUCCUGGGAUGCUGAAGCAAUGGAUAUCAUUCCUUCCACGAGACGUUAAAGGGGUUCCCCCGCUCCAUAUCUUGGCUGUCGCUCUUUACUUGCUCCCAAAUGUACCAUGUUCAUUUUCCCUAUGCUUCGACGCUGGAUUGAGAAUUCAGACUGGCAUAUAAUUAGAUUGCAUGUGUGGUGGUCACAGGUAUGAUGCUGGAUUUAUAAUUCCUUUCUUUUCAUCCUGGAUGAAAAUUAUGAUUCUGUUUAGUCAGCAAAUCCCUUUAGGCAUGCUAGAAGAGCUCUGAACUCUGUUAUGUCUUAUGUUUUAUAUAUUGCAGUGCUAAUGGCAUAAAUUAUUUGAGUAUUUUCUAUAUAUUUAAAUUGCAUUGUAUGAUUGUAUCUAGAGGCUAUCUCUUGGCUCAGUUUAGCAGCUCAAAUAUGACUGAAUCACCACAAACCUCACCGGCUAUUCUUUUUGACGUUUGCAACAAGAGACAAGAUUAUAUAUAUAAAAGCUCAUGCGUCCAUGGUUCUUAGUGUCUUUGUCUUUUUUAGUUUCUUUUUUUACUAGGAAACUUCUGAUAUUUGUAUGUAUUUGAUUCAUUCUUCUUAGUGUCUUUGUCUUUUUUAGUUUCUUUUUUUACUAGAGUGUUGUGUUUUGUCUGUCUAAAGACAUACUCUCUGGGUUAUCUCAUAAAACGAAGAGAUGUAAUAAAUUGCUCCUUAUCAACUGGACACGCACUGAAAAUACUAAAGAUUACCCAUAUUGGGAUCUAAACUAUUUUUUUCAUCCCCGGAUGCUGAAGAUUACAACGUAGGCCAAAUUGGCCUACAAGUCCACGGUGGUGCACCAGGUAUGUCCAUUCCUUACCUUACUUUACUUUCUCUACCAGUUAUGUUUUGGUAUUUACGGUUUAUUGGAUUCGUGUCGGCAGCACGAGGAAAAUCUCAUCACAUUCAUGAUCCGAUGAAAGAGGUUAGGAGGAGAUAGUUCCUCCAGGCACAAAGGCUUUUCAUGUCAUGGCUACUUCCCACACUAAAGUCUGAGCCAACCAAAGCAGUGGAACCAGUACGAGGCCCCAAUACCUCUCACGGACACGAAGCUCUGCCUCAUCAUGCAGGACCCUUAGGUGUGUCGGAAAAAUAAGAAAAAGAGGCGUAGGAAAACGUAUAACACACACGUGUCUUUACUCUCUCUGACAUGAGAUGUCACUAGAACAUUUGUUCCUGGUGACAACUUAGAGUCAACAUCGAGAGAGACAGAGGAUUGGAGGAAAUGACGGCUGCUCGGGUCUUGGUGGGAUCUCGAAUUAUAGUCCAAAGUCACUUUUCCCACCGGAAAAACUGGUGGAGAAAUUGGAGCAGCACAGCUCUUGCGAGGAGGAAAGGAACAUGUGAUGAUGUUCAACUAGGCUCCUGGAAGAGAGAGGGGAUACAGUCAAGAAGAAUGAAAUCAUACCUUCUUCUGAAACGGAAGUCUCUGCUGGUUGCGGUUAGGGCAAGCUGAACAUGCCUUAUAUGAUGCUAACGUCUGCAGAGAACUAAAACCUGAUUGGUCUAAAAGAUGUUGUUUCCGUGAAGGUGUUGCUCUUUGUUUCCUACAGAGAUUUGUUGAGGCAGCCAAUGCCUUUUUACGAAGGAGUAAAGCAAAGAGAUCAGUGAUGAGUUCAGAGAAGUUGUAGAUGCUCAAAAGGAAGUUUCCCGGCAAGGGAAAGAUUAAGGCCAAACCAUAAGAUCUUCUAGAGAAGGCUCUUUUUAGUAUAUGUAUGAAGUUUUGAUAUUGCUUCUUACCUUGGUCUCUCCCAUGACAUUGUUGCCUAUCUUUACUUACACGUACUAAAAACUUCAGGCAUAAAAUUUUGUUUGUGCUCUGAUUAAAAGGGAUAUAUGAAGGCUUCUAAGAUGUGCCACGUCGGAUUAAAAAUUCAUCCAAUCAAAAGGUUAUAUUUUGACAUGUCACGCAGCUGUGUCCAUCUGACUCUUCAUUCUUCUUCACCAUCUCCGUUCUCUAGCAAUCACCGUUACUGCGAAACCCUCCUCAUCAAUCAAAGUUGCUAUUUAAUCUCUUCUUCAUGGUUUUGUUCCAUCUCCCGUUGAUUCUCCUACGAUAUAAGCCGCUUCAUCUAAACCCUGAAUCAAGCCCAAAUCGAAAACUAUCACUAACGAAGCUACAAUUACGACCACAUAAUCCACCGGUAAGUCUCCUGCCUCCGAAGUUUCGCUCGGACCAAAAUCCAUUUCUGGGAGGCCAAAAACAUUGCAAAAGGUGGGACCUUUAUUGGCUUAGAGCUGCUAGGAUCAAGCUGGAGGUCGCUUCAUAGGGUACCAGCCUAAUCAGCACGUAGUACCUUUGUUAGUUUAGAAUCUCAAAACACUCUAUUGGUUUGUGGGUUUCAGAAAAACUGAGAACUGUUCUUUAUAUUUGUAUGCAGGAGAUCGAUUUUGAGUUUGAGACUGAAUAAAAGAAAUAUCUUACCAGACAAGGAAAUAAUUAAGAGGUAUAUACACAACAUCUUAAUGAAUGUAGCUUUUUGCUAGGAAGCGUAUAAGUUGAAUAUUUUUCUUCCUAUUCUGCAGUCAUUGAAAGAUGAAACUAAAAGACUUAGCUUUCUUCAAGAAAAUAAAAUGUAUAUGGCAAAUCUUCAAAAGCUCCUGCUAAAAACGAAAAGGUAAUUUUUCUCCUUUGCACAUGUAAUAAUUUCAGAUACCUUGGCAACGCUGAUGCUAGGGUAGGAUUUGUAUUCUUUAGUCUUUUUUGCUCCUUCACCUGUAAUAAUUUUAGUUACCUUGGCAACGCAAGACGACCUAAUGAAUUUAUGUUGAACCUGUGAACUAUAUUUCCUACUUAUUAUUUCUUUGAUUUUAACAGAGAGACAAUGUCAGGAACCAAAGGGAGUAUCUGGUUUGUUUACUUGCUGAUAAUCAUAUAAGGUUGACUCCCAGGCCAGAGUUUCUGAAUAAGCUCGACGAUAGAGCCGUUGAUGCCGUCAAGACAAAGUUCUUUAAGAACUACAAGAACUGGUGCAAAUUUUUAGGACGUAAACAUAGUUUAAGGUACCAGGCAACAUUUUAUUUUCACAAAUGGCUUGAAUGAGACACUUUUUUGAAUGAUGUUUAUACUCUUAAUAAAAAUUCACUCAUUUAAUUUAUGCGAAGGCUUUCUCAAGGUGCUGAAGAUAUACAACAGGAGAAGAUACUGUAUAUGGGUUUUUAAAUCCUUUUUAGCUGAUAUGAUUAGUCAAACACAAGAAUUCAUCAAUAUUUACCUGCUUUUUAUUCUCAGAUGGCUUAUGAACUCCAUGGUCUUCUGGCUGGAAAUGUCAGCAUCGUUACUGGAGAAAAUAUCAAGCCUUCUUACGGUGGAGAUGAUGAGGCCUUUCUGCUGAAAAGCAAGUAAGAAUGCCACUGGCAAGGCCGCUCACUCAGAUUGGUCCAACUAUGAUGAUCUGUAUGAAUAUUUUUGGUCUCCAGAUUGCUUCUAUCUCGGCUGGCCAAUGCGUGAUGAUGGAGAUCUCUCUCCAGUAUCUUCAUUACAGCAGCUUUUCUACGCUUCCUCCAGAGUAUCUUGGAUAUUAUCUUAAACUUCCCGGGUUUCCACAGAUGGAAAUUUACUGAAAUUUUGAGAAAUAUUCUCAAGAUCGCUGUAAGUCUCGCUUGGUGUGUAGUCUUACCGCUUUGCGAUGCCCAGUCCAAUUCUUCUGCUCCUGGGAUGCUGAAGCAAUGGAUAUCAUUCCUUCCACGAGACGUUAAAGGGGUUCCCCCGCUCCAUAUCUUGGCUGUCGCUCUUUACUUGCUCCCAAAUGUACCAUGUUCAUUUUCCCUAUGCUUCGACGCUGGAUUGAGAAUUCAGACUGGCAUAUAAUUAGAUUGCAUGUGUGGUGGUCACAGGUAUGAUGCUGGAUUUAUAAUUCCUUUCUUUUCAUCCUGGAUGAAAAUUAUGAUUCUGUUUAGUCAGCAAAUCCCUUUAGGCAUGCUAGAAGAGCUCUGAACUCUGUUAUGUCUUAUGUUUUAUAUAUUGCAGUGCUAAUGGCAUAAAUUAUUUGAGUAUUUUCUAUAUAUUUAAAUUGCAUUGUAUGAUUGUAUCUAGAGGCUAUCUCUUGGCUCAGUUUAGCAGCUCAAAUAUGACUGAAUCACCACAAACCUCACCGGCUAUUCUUUUUGACGUUUGCAACAAGAGACAAGAUUAUAUAUAUAAAAGCUCAUGCGUCCAUGGUUCUUAGUGUCUUUGUCUUUUUUAGUUUCUUUUUUUACUAGGAAACUUCUGAUAUUUGUAUGUAUUUGAUUCAUUCUUCUUAGUGUCUUUGUCUUUUUUAGUUUCUUUUUUUACUAGAGUGUUGUGUUUUGUCUGUCUAAAGACAUACUCUCUGGGUUAUCUCAUAAAACGAAGAGAUGUAAUAAAUUGCUCCUUAUCAACUGGACACGCACUGAAAAUACUAAAGAUUACCCAUAUUGGGAUCUAAACUAUUUUUUUCAUCCCCGGAUGCUGAAGAUUACAACGUAGGCCAAAUUGGCCUACAAGUCCACGGUGGUGCACCAGGUAUGUCCAUUCCUUACCUUACUUUACUUUCUCUACCAGUUAUGUUUUGGUAUUUACGGUUUAUUGGAUUCGUGUCGGCAGCACGAGGAAAAUCUCAUCACAUUCAUGAUCCGAUGAAAGAGGUUAGGAGGAGAUAGUUCCUCCAGGCACAAAGGCUUUUCAUGUCAUGGCUACUUCCCACACUAAAGUCUGAGCCAACCAAAGCAGUGGAACCAGUACGAGGCCCCAAUACCUCUCAUGGACACGAAGCUCUGCCUCAUCAUGCAGGACCCUUAGGUGUGUCGGAAAAAUAAGAAAAAGAGGCGUAGGAAAACGUAUAACACACACGUGUCUUUACUCUCUCUGACAUGAGAUGUCACUAGAACAUUUGUUCCUGGUGACAACUUAGAGUCAACAUCGAGAGAGACAGAGGAUUGGAGGAAAUGACGGCUGCUCGGGUCUUGGUGGGAUCUCGAAUUAUAGUCCAAAGUCACUUUUCCCACCGGAAAAACUGGUGGAGAAAUUGGAGCAGCACAGCUCUUGCGAGGAGGAAAGGAACAUGUGAUGAUGUUCAACUAGGCUCCUGGAAGAGAGAGGGGAUACAGUCAAGAAGAAUGAAAUCAUACCUUCUUCUGAAACGGAAGUCUCUGCUGGUUGCGGUUAGGGCAAGCUGAACAUGCCUUAUAUGAUGCUAACGUCUGCAGAGAACUAAAACCUGAUUGGUCUAAAAGAUGUUGUUUCCGUGAAGGUGUUGCUCUUUGUUUCCUACAGAGAUUUGUUGAGGCAGCCAAUGCCUUUUUACGAAGGAGUAAAGCAAAGAGAUCAGUGAUGAGUUCAGAGAAGUUGUAGAUGCUCAAAAGGAAGUUUCCCGGCAAGGGAAAGAUUAAGGCCAAACCAUAAGAUCUUCUAGAGAAGGCUCUUUUUAGUAUAUGUAUAAGUU
Molecule: long non-coding RNA, 6320 nt
Organism: Brassica napus (rape)
Lineage: Eukaryota; Viridiplantae; Streptophyta; Magnoliopsida; Brassicales; Brassicaceae
Exons: 16
Source: RefSeq, a predicted model, not a curated record